ACUCCUACGGGAGGCAGCAGUGGGGAAUAUUGCACAAUGGGCGCAAGCCUGAUGCAGCCAUGCCGCGUGUGUGAAGAAGGCCUUCGGGUUGUAAAGCACUUUCAGUCGUGAGGAAGGUAGUGUAGUUAAUAGCUGCAUUAUUUUGACGUUAGCGACAGAAGAAGCACCGGCUAACUCCGUGCCAGCAGCCGCGGUAAUACGGAGGGUGCGAGCGUUAAUCGGAAUUACUGGGCGUAAAGCGCAUGCAGGUGGUUUGUUAAGUCAGAUGUGAAAGCCCGGGGCUCAACCUCGGAAUAGCAUUUGAAACUGGCAGACUAGAGUACUGUAGAGGGGGUUAGAA
Molecule: ribosomal RNA, 340 nt
Filed under: uncultured bacterium
Lineage: Bacteria
Description: bacterial SSU rRNA
Rfam family: Bacterial small subunit ribosomal RNA
Source: RNAcentral